Long non-coding RNA from Telopea speciosissima, 890 nucleotides. RefSeq lists it as uncharacterized. The record is from RefSeq and is a predicted model, not a curated record. NCBI's taxonomy places the organism in Eukaryota, Viridiplantae, Streptophyta, Magnoliopsida, Proteales, Proteaceae. The transcript has 3 exons.
UUCCACCGUACAUACCCUACAAAACCCACAAUAAGUUCGGCGAGCUGAGCUGAGCUGAGCCUGAGUCUGAGCAUUUCUGAUUUAUGAUUGCCCCAAAUUGAUCGCCCAAAGAUUUCCUCAGCCCUCCCCCAGAUUUCCUCUCAGCCCUUCUAUCGCUUUGCUUACAUCAUCUCUCUCUUGCUAUUGUUCAUGCUCAGAACCCAAAAAUACUUCCAGCUGACCACACACUCUGCUGCAGAAGCAGUACUAUUUCUGCCACCUCUUACUUUCUCUCUCUCUCUACAUCCUGUAGCUAAGUAAAAUCUCUCUUUUUUAUGUGUGCUUUUUUUCCAUUCUUUCGCACCUCAUUAGCUAUUUGUCUGAAAGGGCUAAAAAAGUAUUCCAAUAUUGAAAAAUGGGUGCUGCUAAUACCUGCAAAAAAAAACAGAAGUUUGAACAGAGAUUCCAGAUAUUUUGUUUGUGAUGAUUGCAGAAAAGCAGAUGAGGAGAGGGGUGGAAGACAAAGAAGAUCAGAAAGAGAGGAGAGAGAGAGAGAGAGAGAGAGAUGGGCCCUCAAAAGCCUGCAACAGAAAUGAGUGGCACUGCACCAGGAGUUAUAUGGAGGAAAUUACAUAUUAGCUGGUUCAUUCCAUGGUCGAUGGUAGCUCUCCUGCAAACGGGUGGGAGGCCUAUAUUUCCUGAAGAAUAACAGGUGAAGAGAAUGACAAAAGACCAAUUUGAGCACAGAAGCCCUAUUCCAGAGAGGUGACAAGUGAAUUACAAUCUUCUAAUCUCUGCUAUUUAUCAGGGAGAUCCACUGGGAAUGGUUAUGAACACUGUUUAGAAAUUUAGUUUGGAGGCUGCUUUAAUGUUACAGUUUCCUGGGUGUAAUUGUAACUUCUAUUUCUGAA